Rhodamnia argentea is the source of this 473-nucleotide long non-coding RNA. RefSeq lists it as uncharacterized. NCBI's taxonomy places the organism in Eukaryota, Viridiplantae, Streptophyta, Magnoliopsida, Myrtales, Myrtaceae. The record is from RefSeq and is a predicted model, not a curated record. The transcript has 3 exons.
AAUGGUGUCGGGAGUUGGGUUCGGUCCGGCGUCGACCAUGGGGAGUAUGCCCGGGGGCUCAUGACGAGCUGCGCUGAUGAUGUCGGGAAGCAGCGGGCCGGCCGUGUGGAGCUCGAGAGGGUACUCCACAAGGCCUUCCGCAGGACCUUAGUCAGGGGAUCAGCGACGGCCGUGUGUACUGACGCGCUGGCCAAAGAUCACCAUUUGCAGGUCGUGAACGUGGGUGCUAGCUAGCAGGUUCGUGUGGAUCCGAACGGGCGAGAGCGUUUACCGGUCGCCGAUCCAAGAGCACGGUUUCAAUCGUCCAUAUCAGCUUGGAAUAACGCCAGGACACUACUGUUCGCCGCUAACAGCACAGAGCUACAAAGUCGAAGUACGCGAGGGGGACGUCAUCGUCGCCGGGACGGAUGGGUUGUUCGACAACAUGUUCGUGAAGCAAAUUAGGGACGCAGCAGAAGCCGGGAUAAGAGAAG